Molecule: unclassified non-coding RNA, 339 nt
Filed under: soil metagenome
Description: partial contains 5.8S ribosomal RNA, internal transcribed spacer 2, and large subunit ribosomal RNA
Rfam family: 5.8S ribosomal RNA (bases 1-120)
Source: RNAcentral
GAUGAAGAACGUAGCGAAAUGCGAUACGUAGUGUGAAUUGCAGAAUUCAGUGAAUCAUCGAAUCUUUGAACGCACAUUGCACCUCUCGGUAUUCCGGGAGGUAUGCCUGUUCGAGCGUCAUUUGUACCCUCAAGCUCUGCUUGGUGUUGGGUGUUUGUUCCGCCUCUGUGUGUGAACUCGCCUCAAAACAAUUGGCAACCGGCGUACUUGUUUCGGAGCGCAGCACAUUUUGCGAUCCAGAUCAACGUACAGCGGCAUCCAAGAAGCCUUAUUUAACGCUCUUGACCUCGGAUCAGGUAGGGAUACCCGCUGAACUUAAGCAUAUCAAUAAGCGGAGGA